Molecule: long non-coding RNA, 1557 nt
Filed under: Homo sapiens (human)
Lineage: Eukaryota; Metazoa; Chordata; Mammalia; Primates; Hominidae
Description: long non-coding RNA NONHSAT223200.1
Source: RNAcentral
UGAGAUCUGAUGGUUUUAUAAAGAGGAGUUCCCCUGCACAAGCUCCCUCUCUUGCCUGCCACCAUGUAAGAAGUCCCUUUGGUCUUCCUUUGUCUUCUGCCGUGAUUGUGAGGCCUCCCCAGCCAUGUGGAACGGUACUCAAACUGUGGCCCAAGUGCUGGUAGCAUUAGCAUCAACUGGAAGCUUGUUAGAAAUGUAGAAUCUCAGAUCUCACCCCAGAAUGGACUAUGGACUCAGAAUCUGCAUUUUAAUAAGAUUCACAAUUCACAGUAUAAAAUAAUAAGAUGGCUGAUCCUGCAAAGAGGCGCGGUGACAUCAACAGUGACUCAGUCUCUAUGAUGGUAUUAGUAACUGGCAGCUGACUCUCCUAUUUAUCAUCAAGUUAUGUUCCAAAUAAGACUUUCAAGUCUGAGAAAAAUGACAAAUCCCUUCCAGGCAUGGUUCAAGUUAAAGCUGAAACUGUGUCUUCGUUUCAGCUCAAGAGAGGUUUUGAUUGUGUCGUGGCUUUUCCUUGUGUAUUGGUUGAGGAACUGUGCCUUGGAGGGGCGGGGAGUCUUGAGAAUGGGUCAACUGAUGGAGGGGGAGUGGAAGACAUUGGUUGCCCAAGAAAAUAUGUCAACAUCUGUCCAUCACUGCAACUCCGGCCUGAUUAUCAUUUUUUCUGCUUCUGUAAGCACCAAUGAGACAAUGCCACUGAACCACAUUCUUUGUUGCCUGCAGUAUUUCCCACCACUGCGCCACCUCUGAUAUGCUAAUGAGGAAGCCCAGGGUUUUGUGUGGCUGAAAAGCCUUUCAGGCACAAUCAGUGGGUCAACAAUCUCAACUCUGUACAGCGGCUCAGCCUGCUCUGUGAGAGGCUCCUCUUUCGGAGGGGUCCUUCCUCACACCUUUUCUGUGAGUGCGUCUGUGCUUAAGGAAGGGCAAUUAACCAUCUGGCUGCUUGUCCCCUGGAGAAAUUGACAGAACAUCAAACAGAAUAAACUCAUACCUUGAAAACUGCCAAGUGGCACAUGACUGUCCGGUUCACUGUGGGGAGAAGCCACUAACCAAUGGUCUGAAUCUAAAAAUGACCCAGUGGCACCGGUUUGUAGUAAAACUUUGAAGAUAGAACUCCAUGCAAAUUCUGACUCCAUAGUGCUGGUUCUUGAUGUAAAUCUCCCAAUGUAACUGUCAAGGUUUAAAAAUAUCUUACGUAGGUGUUCAGAAUCAUAAGGUCAUAGAAUUAUAAAAUGUUAACCGGCAGAAGUAUUUUCAUCUUUGUCAUACGAAAAAGAGUAAUUUGCUCAUAAUAAGCCUUCAAUAUUUAUGUAUUGGAUUGCAAUUAACAGGAAUCAAAGGAAUCUUAUAAGGAUCAUUUAUCUAGAAUAAUCUCUAUUUUCUAGAAUUACUUAAUGAUCAUUGUCUUUAUUCAGCCUAAGUAACAUUGAAAUUUUUCUUCAUUCAAAUAAAUUCAUACUCAUGAAGCCUUUCCCCACUUUUCAUUUCAUAUUCUGUUUCUACUAGUAUUGUUAACCAUUGCAAAGAAAUACUGUUGCCCUCCAUUAAAACCUGAACUGC